ACGAACGCUGGCGGCGUGCUUAACACAUGCAAGUCGAACGCGCCUGUCCUCUGGGUUUCUGGGGGGUGGGUGAGUGGCGAACGGGUGAGUAACACGUGAGUAACCUGCCCCCUUCUUCGGGAUAACGGUCUGAAAGGGCUGCUAAUACCGGGUAUUCACUGGUCUCCGCAUGGGGUCUGGUGGAAAGGUUUUUUUCUGGUGGGGGAUGGGCUCGCGGCCUAUCAGCUUGUUGGUGGGGUGAUGGCCCACCAAGGCUUUGACGGGUAGCCGGCCUGAGAGGGUGACCGGUCACAUUGGGACUGAGAUACGGCCCAGACUCCUACGGGAGGCAGCAGUGGGGAAUAUUGCACAAUGGGCGCAAGCCUGAUGCAGCGACGCCGCGUGAGGGAUGGAGGCCUUCGGGUUGUGAACCUCUUUCGCCCGUGGUCAAGCCGCGACGUGGGUCGUGGUGAGGGUAGCGGGUAAAGAAGCGCCGGCUAACUACGUG
This 487-nucleotide ribosomal RNA is filed under the name uncultured bacterium. RNAcentral's name for it is "partial 16S ribosomal RNA". It matches the Rfam family "Bacterial small subunit ribosomal RNA", at positions 29 to 507 of the family's 1533-position model. The record is from RNAcentral.